Molecule: RNA transcript, 1241 nt
Organism: Spinacia oleracea (spinach)
Lineage: Eukaryota; Viridiplantae; Streptophyta; Magnoliopsida; Caryophyllales; Amaranthaceae
Exons: 4
Source: RefSeq, a predicted model, not a curated record
ACAUUUUUGUUAUUGGGUCUGCUUCCGACUUAUUGCAGUUCCUUCUGCAGCCUACAUGAUAUUACAUUGGUAUGCCUGUAGUGUUAUCGUUUUUUCUGUGUUUACUGAUGCUUUAUGUAUGUUGAAGGGUUCCGCUUUUGAGAAACAACUAUGGUGAGGCUACCAAAUCUAAUUCUAGUGAUUCUACCACCUUCCGCCGUCCUCUUUCGCCGCAUCUACCCAAUUCCCGUGGCUCUCUUUCCCAAACCCUAGGAGCCUUGAUGUAUUCACGGCGGAAACCGCAGCUCACCCCUCACCUUCUCCGUAGUUUGUUGGAGAGUUUUUCACAUCAUUAUAUGUUUUUGGUUCACCACCUCUAUGAUUCGUCGGGAAUCUUACUGAUGAUCCUUACUUGAGCCUUUUCAGGAAGGUAAAUAGGUAAUUCCUCCUGUUUUUGUUACAUUGGUAUUGUUGCUCCUCAUCUUAUCAAGUAAUUUACCUGUGCUGAUUUCUCCACUUCUGACUCCCCUAUGAUCAUGUGUAAAAACAAAAACAAUUGCCAGUUGGGAGAUGAAAAUUGAUUGCUCUUUAAGUCCUAUUGGUCUUGAAAUUAAAUUAGUGAAUAUUUGUCAUAGCUCAUUCCAAUACUCUUAGAAGUUUGAGAGACUUCGAAACACCAUAGUGUAGUUUUUCCUCCUUCAUAAAUCUAGUAUUUUUUUAUUAGUUAUAAUCUAUCAGCUUAGAUAUAUUCUUAGGAAUUCCUAAAAGUUGUACCUCCUUACACUAUAUUGAAUGUAAUGUAUGCUUUUGUCUAUAUACGUAACUUUUUUUGUGCCAUGAACCUUUGUUCUGAUAACCCAAACUUUAUAUUCUGUUGCAGGUAUAGUAGUUUAGAGUACUAUCUUUCUCAAGCUAGAUAUUCCUAUAUUUUCUUCCUACCCAGUACCCAAUCUAUGGUAUAAUAUGGCUCCCUUCUGUACAAGAUUAUUGAUGAUUCAAGUGGUAAUGGUAUAUGUAGAUCAAGAUCAACAAGUUAUCUUGAAGCUAAGCUAGCAUAGCAAUAGGUUUACUUGGUGAUUAGUUUGUACGUAGUCAAGAAGUAGUUUUUAUUUAGUUUUGGACUAUCUUGUAGACAAAAUGAUGUUAGGAAGUUGUUUUUGUUUUAACAUAUUCCUUUUAUUUCGGUUAACUAGACUCUGGAAAUUAAUUUAAUGUAUGAAUGAUUUAUAUUGUUAUAUAUCACUUUUUCUAAAUUAAUCAAA